AUUGAACGCUGGCGGCAGGCUUAACACAUGCAAGUCGAGCGGAGGAAGGUAGCUUGCUACUGGACUUAGCGGCGGACGGGUGAGUAAUGCCUAGGAAUCUGCCUGGUAGUGGGGGACAACGUUUCGAAAGGAACGCUAAUACCGCAUACGUCCUACGGGAGAAAGCAGGGGACCUUCGGGCCUUGCGCUAUCAGAUGAGCCUAGGUCGGAUUAGCUAGUUGGUGAGGUAAUGGCUCACCAAGGCGACGAUCCGUAACUGGUCUGAGAGGAUGAUCAGUCACACUGGAACUGAGACACGGUCCAGACUCCUACGGGAGGCAGCAGUGGGGAAUAUUGGACAAUGGGCGAAAGCCUGAUCCAGCCAUGCCGCGUGUGUGAAGAAGGUCUUCGGAUUGUAAAGCACUUUAAGUUGGGAGGAAGGGCAGUAAGCUAAUACCUUGCUGUUUUGACGUUACCGACAGAAUAAGCACCGGCUAACUCUGUGCCAGCAGCCGCAGUAAAAC
This 503-nucleotide ribosomal RNA is filed under the name uncultured bacterium. RNAcentral's name for it is "bacterial SSU rRNA". It matches the Rfam family "Bacterial small subunit ribosomal RNA", at positions 30 to 526 of the family's 1533-position model. The record is from RNAcentral.